RNAcentral lists this long non-coding RNA (284 nucleotides) under Elaeis guineensis (African oil palm). RNAcentral describes it as "long non-coding RNA (EGUI_LNC063034)". Lineage: Eukaryota; Viridiplantae; Streptophyta; Magnoliopsida; Arecales; Arecaceae. The record is from RNAcentral.
CCCGCAUAAAGGUAUUGUGUUCUGAACACAGAACAGUAAAUUAUUUACUGUUCAAAUUUGAAUUUCAAAUUUAAAUGCAUGCAUGCUACAUAUCAUAUUUAGAUCCUAGUAUAGGGUAAAUAUAUGUUAAUUAAUUAGAUUAAUUAAUAAUUUUCACUGUAAAAUAGUGAUUUUGAAAAAUUUUAAAAUUACCAUUUUACCCCUGCACUAAAAUUUUGCUUCAUGGAUAUCAUUGCUAGAUGAUCACUUUGAUUCAUAUAAAAUUUUAUUCUGAUACUACUGAC